This is a non-coding RNA of Pelobates cultripes (western spadefoot toad), 399 nucleotides long. The record is from the annotation of a GenBank genome assembly. Lineage: Eukaryota; Metazoa; Chordata; Amphibia; Anura; Pelobatidae.
GUGUGUGGUCGUUUUUACCGUGAUCUGUGGCUUACAUGAAAACUUUGAUAUCAAUGGUUAGCACACUUUCUACUGUUCCUUCUUUCCAUUUUUAUAACAAUACCUUGAUUGAAUGUUUCUCUUUUACUACUAGGUGAACUGUAUGACACACUUUAGUUUAAUAACUGUGUUUUCCCAAAGGAAACCCAUAUGUAGUAAUCAUUGUCAUGGGUAUAUUGUAACCUAAUUCUAAAUGGUAAAUCGUACAGACACAGACUAUAUAGCUGUGAUAUCAUUUGCAAUCAGAGUUAUAAUUUUUUUUUUUUAGCAAAACAUUUUUCAAUAUCUUCUGUUAUCAGGAUCUGUAGGCAAUAUUAUGUACAUGCAGCAUAACUUAGUAGGUAUGUAGGAAGAAGGGGU